CUAUAGAUUAAUGUCAUACAAAGGAGACUGACAUGGAAGUUUUAUGAAAAUCAGAGCAAAGGGGGAUUGCUUUUAUUUGGAUACACACAAUCAACAUGUUAUGUAAUUCAAAAUAUGAGUUACCAACGAAAAGGGUUAGAUCAGCUAUGGAGACCUACAGAAAGGCAGUUUGCCAACCCUGUGAAUGAAGAGAAGAGGCUGCACAAAACCAGGCAGAAAGAAACAUGUAAGACUCAGUGAUUCUAGCACACGGCUGGCAGGUAUUGAUAGAAUAUAUUGUAACGCUGUGAUUGAACUGGGGACAUAAGUGAUUACUAAAAUCACAGUAGUUAUUAGAAUGAUUAGAAACGCUUUUCUCUUUAUGUGAUUUUCUUCAUCUCUCUGUCUUCCUCUCUCUCCAGGUCCGGGCUUCUUCAGAGCUCUGAGAACAGCCAAACAGCAGAACAGGUUUAUGGCGAGGAAAACUGUGAAGUGUACCAGAAAUGUAAGGCUGUCUUCAGUGCAUCAGUGAUCAGUGCAGUUCUCACACAAAAUCUACAGCGCUGGAUAUGUUGCAUGGAUCUGAGAACAACCAUGAGACAAAACAACUGGACGGAGAGGAAGAGAAGGAACUGCAGUGAAAGGAACCAUGUAUAUACCUUCACAUUCAACAAUCUUAGUAUACUCAUGAUGCCCAAACAGGAUCCAAGAGUGAUUAUCCAGACCACAGUGCAGCAGAUCACUCUAUAUCUGAGAGAAUAGUGAGGAAUCCUGUGAAAAUAAAA
Molecule: long non-coding RNA, 764 nt
Organism: Cyprinus carpio (common carp)
Lineage: Eukaryota; Metazoa; Chordata; Actinopteri; Cypriniformes; Cyprinidae
Source: Ensembl